UGAGCCAGUCCAGGAUGGACCCGCGUCUGAUUACCUAGUGGGGAAGGUCACGGCUUACCCAGGCGACGAUCAGUAGCCGACCUGAGGGGAUGAUCGGCACCACAGGAACUGAGACACGGUCCAAACUCCUACGUGCGGCAGCAGUGGGGAAUAUUGCCCAAUGCGCGAAAGCCUGAUGCAGCACCGCCGCGUGAGUGAUGAAGGCCUUCGGGUCGUCCAACUCUGUCCUCAAGGAAGAUAAUGACGGUACUUGAGGAGGAGGCCCCGGCUAACUACGUGCCCGCAGCCGCGGUAAUACGUAGCGGGCGAGCGUUAUCCGGCUUUACUGGGCGUACAGGGUGCGUAGGCGGUCUUUCCAGUCAGGAGUGAAAGGCUACGGCCCAACCGUAGUAAGCUCUUGAAACUGGGAGACUUGCGUGCAGGAGAGGAGAGUGGAGUU
Molecule: ribosomal RNA, 439 nt
Filed under: Clostridioides difficile
Lineage: Bacteria; Bacillati; Bacillota; Clostridia; Peptostreptococcales; Peptostreptococcaceae
Description: bacterial SSU rRNA
Rfam family: Bacterial small subunit ribosomal RNA
Source: RNAcentral